CCUACGGGGGGCAGCAGUGGGGAAUAUUGCGCAAUUGGCGAAAGCCUGACGCAGCGACGCCGCGUGAGGGAUGAAGGCCUUCGGAUCGUAAACCUCUGUUAGCAGGGAAGAACGGUCACUGUGCUAAUCAGCAGUGAAUUGACGGUACCUGCAAAGGAAGCAUCGGCUAACUCCGUGCCAGCAGCUGCGGUAAUACGGAGGGUGCGUGCGUUAAUCGGAUUUACUGGGCGUAAAGCGCGCGUAGGCGGUAUGUCAAGUCAAGGGUGAAAUCCCCGGGCUCUACGAGGGAACUGCCUUUGAAACUGGCAAACUUGAGUGUGCGAGAGGAUAGUGGAAUUCGAGGUGUAGGGGUGAAAUCCGUAGAUAUCAGGAAGAACCUCAGUGGCGAAGGCGACUAUCUGGAACAUAACUGACGCUGAGGAGCGAAAGCGUGGGUAGCAAACAGGAUUAGAUACCCGAGUAGUC
Molecule: ribosomal RNA, 465 nt
Filed under: uncultured bacterium
Lineage: Bacteria
Description: partial 16S ribosomal RNA
Rfam family: Bacterial small subunit ribosomal RNA
Source: RNAcentral